This 536-nucleotide ribosomal RNA is filed under the name uncultured bacterium. RNAcentral's name for it is "bacterial SSU rRNA". It matches the Rfam family "Bacterial small subunit ribosomal RNA", at positions 336 to 865 of the family's 1533-position model. The record is from RNAcentral.
CUCCUACGGGAGGCAGCAGUGGGGAAUUUUGGACAAUGGGCGCAAGCCUGAUCCAGCCAUGCCGCGUGAGUGAAGAAGGCCUUCGGGUUGUAAAGCUCUUUCGGUGAAGACGAAACGGUUAGCGCUAAUAACGCUGACUAAUGACGGUACUCACAGAAGAAGCACCGGCUAACUACGUGCCAGCAGCCGCGGUAAUACGUAGGGUGCAGGCGUUAAUCGGAAUUACUGGGCGUAAAGCGUGCGCAGGCGGUUUGCUAAGACAGGUGUGAAAUCCCCGGGCUUAACCUGGGAAUUGCGCUUGUAACUGGCAGGCUAGAGUGUGGCAGAGGGGGGUGGAAUUCCACGUGUAGCAGUGAAAUGCGUAGAUAUGUGGAGGAGCACCGAUGGCGAAGGCAGCCCCCUGGGUCAACACUGACGCUCAGGCACGAAAGCGUGGGGAGCAAACAGGAUUAGAUACCCUGGUAGUCCACGCCCUAAACUAUGUCAACUAGUUGUCGGGGAAGAAAUUCCUUGGUAACGAAGCUAACGCGUGAAGU